CCUACGGGAGGCAGCAGUGGGGAAUAUUGCACAAUGGGCGCAAGCCUGAUGCAGCAACGCCGCGUGCGGGAUGACGGCCUUCGGGUUGUAAACCGCUUUCAGUUCCGACGAAGCGCAAGUGACGGUAGGAACAGAAGAAGGACCGGCCAACUACGUGCCAGCAGCCGCGGUGAUACGUAGGGUCCGAGCGUUGUCCGGAAUUAUUGGGCGUAAAGGGCUUGUAGGCGGUUUGUCACGUCGAAAGUGAAAACUCAGGGCUUAACCCUGAGCCUGCUUCCGAUACGGGCAAACUAGAGGGAUGCAGGGGAGAAUGGAAUUCCUGGUGGAGCGGUGGAAUGCGCAGAUAUCAGGAGGAACACCGGUGGCGAAGGCGGUUCUCUGGGCAUUUCCUGACGCUGAGAAGCGAAAGCGUGGGGAGCAAACAGGCUUAGAUACCCUGGUAGUCCACGCCGUAAACGGUGGGCACUAGGUGUGGGGAACAUUCCACGUUCUCCGUGCUGAAGCUAACGCAUUAAGUGCCCCGCCUGGGGAGUACGGCCGCAAGGCUAAAACUCAAAGGAAUUGACGGGGGCCCGCACAAGCGGCGGAGCAUGCGGAUUAAUUCGAUGCAACGCGAAGAACCUUACCUGGGUUUGACAUAUGCCGGAAAGCUACAGAGAUGUAGCCCCCGCAAGGUCGGUAUACAGGUGGUGCAUGGCUGUCGUCAGCUCGUGUCGUGAGAUGUUGGGGUUAAGUCCCGCAACGAGCGCAACCCUCGUCCUAUGUUGCCAGCGGAUAAUGCCCGGGG
RNAcentral lists this ribosomal RNA (787 nucleotides) under uncultured bacterium. RNAcentral describes it as "bacterial SSU rRNA". It matches the Rfam family "Bacterial small subunit ribosomal RNA", at positions 338 to 1136 of the family's 1533-position model. The record is from RNAcentral.